This 503-nucleotide ribosomal RNA is filed under the name uncultured bacterium. Its description in RNAcentral is "partial 16S ribosomal RNA". It matches the Rfam family "Bacterial small subunit ribosomal RNA", at positions 30 to 523 of the family's 1533-position model. The record is from RNAcentral.
AUUGAACGCUGGCGGCAGGCUUAACACAUGCAAGUCGAGCGGGGUGAUGGUGCUUGCACUAUCACUUAGCGGCGGACGGGUGAGUAAUGCUUAGGAAUCUGCCUAUUAGUGGGGGACAACAUCUCGAAAGGGAUGCUAAUACCGCAUACGUCCUACGGGAGAAAGCAGGGGAUCACUUGUGACCUUGCGCUAAUAGAUGAGCCUAAGUCGGAUUAGCUAGUUGGUGGGGUAAAGGCCUACCAAGGCGACGAUCUGUAGCGGGUCUGAGAGGAUGAUCCGCCACACUGGGACUGAGACACGGCCCAGACUCCUACGGGAGGCAGCAGUGGGGAAUAUUGGACAAUGGGGGGAACCCUGAUCCAGCCAUGCCGCGUGUGUGAAGAAGGCCUUAUGGUUGUAAAGCACUUUAAGCGAGGAGGAGGCUCUUUUGGUUAAUACCCAAGAUGAGUGGACGUUACUCGCAGAAUAAGCACCGGCUAACUCUGUGCCAGCAGCCGCCGCCG